GAUGAAGAACGUAGCGAAAUGCGAUACGUAAUGUGAAUUGCAGAUCUCUCAGUGAACCAUCGAAUUUUUGAACGCACAUUGCGCCCCCUGGUAUUCCGGGGGGCAUGCCUAUCCGAGCGUCAUUGCUGCCCUCAAGCACGGCUUGUGUGUUGGGCCUCCGUCCUCCUCCCGGGGGACGGGCCCGAAAGGCAGCGGCGGCACCGCGUCCGGUCCUCGAGCGUAUGGGGCUUCGUCACCCGCUCUUGUAGGCCCGGCCGGCGCUUGCCGACACAUCAAUCUUUUUUCCAGGUUGACCUCGGAUCAGGUAGGGAUACCCGCUGAACUUAAGCAUAUCAAUAAGCGGAGGA
RNAcentral lists this unclassified non-coding RNA (347 nucleotides) under soil metagenome. RNAcentral describes it as "partial contains 5.8S ribosomal RNA, internal transcribed spacer 2, and large subunit ribosomal RNA". The stretch from base 1 to 122 matches the Rfam family "5.8S ribosomal RNA", at positions 35 to 154 of the family's 154-position model. The record is from RNAcentral.